RNAcentral lists this transfer RNA (67 nucleotides) under Ailuropoda melanoleuca (giant panda). It matches the Rfam family "tRNA". From Rfam's summary of the family: Transfer RNA (tRNA) molecules are approximately 80 nucleotides in length. Their secondary structure includes four short double-helical elements and three loops (D, anti-codon, and T loops). The record is from Rfam by way of RNAcentral. Lineage: Eukaryota; Metazoa; Chordata; Mammalia; Carnivora; Ursidae.
GCAGAAAGAGCUGCCGAGCAUGAGAUUCUUAAUCUCAGGGUCAUGAGUUUGAGUCCCAUUUUGAGCA